Molecule: microRNA precursor, 60 nt
Filed under: Gallus gallus (chicken)
Lineage: Eukaryota; Metazoa; Chordata; Aves; Galliformes; Phasianidae
Description: Gga-Mir-19-P2c_pre stem-loop
Rfam family: mir-19 microRNA precursor family
About the family: The hairpin precursors (represented here) are predicted based on base pairing and cross-species conservation -- their extents are not known.
Source: RNAcentral
AGUUUUGCAGGUUUGCAUCCCAGCUUGCUAAAAUUGCUGUGCAAAUCCAUGCAAAACUGA